AUACGUAGGUGGCAAGCGUUAUCCGGAAUUAUUGGGCGUAAAGAGGGAGCAGGCGGCAGCAAGGGUCUGUGGUGAAAGCCUGAAGCUUAACUUCAGUAAGCCAUAGAAACCAGGCAGCUAGAGUGCAGGAGAGGAUCGUGGAAUUCCAUGUGUAGCGGUGAAAUGCGUAGAUAUAUGGAGGAACACCAGUGGCGAAGGCGACGAUCGGGCCGGCAACUGACGCUCAGUCCCGAAAGCGUGGGGAGCAAAUAGGAUUAGAUACCCUAGUAGUCCACGCCGUAAACGAUGAGUACUAAGUGUUGGAUGUCAAAGUUCAGUGCUGCAGUUAACGCAAUAAGUACUCCGCCUGAGUAGUACGUUCGCAAGAAUGAAACUCAAAGGAAUUGACGGGG
RNAcentral lists this ribosomal RNA (392 nucleotides) under uncultured bacterium. RNAcentral describes it as "partial 16S ribosomal RNA". It matches the Rfam family "Bacterial small subunit ribosomal RNA", at positions 523 to 918 of the family's 1533-position model. The record is from RNAcentral.